Molecule: RNase P RNA, 414 nt
Filed under: Limisphaerales bacterium
Lineage: Bacteria; Pseudomonadati; Verrucomicrobiota; Verrucomicrobiia; Limisphaerales
Description: Verrucomicrobia subdivision 3 bacterium (hot springs metagenome) RNase P RNA component class A
Rfam family: Bacterial RNase P class A
About the family: Ribonuclease P (RNase P) is a ubiquitous endoribonuclease, found in archaea, bacteria and eukarya as well as chloroplasts and mitochondria.
Source: RNAcentral
CUGGAAGGGCGGAGAAUCGCCUCCGGCCCCAGGCCGGGGGAGGAAAGUCCGAACUCCAUCGGGCGCGAUGCCGCGUAACCCAGCUUCAAACCGAAGCCGGGAUACACGCGGGCGGAACGCGUCAAGGCGUUUCGACGGAAAGUGCCACAGAAACUUAGACCGCCUCCAAGCCCCAAAGGCUUGGCGGCAAGGGUGAAAAGGUGGGGUAAGAGCCCACCGCCCGGAGCGUAAGCGACGGGGCACGGCAAACCCCAUCGGGAGCAAGGCCAAAUAGGAGCCCUUGGAGCUGCCCACUCCGCGCCGGUAACCCCGGCGCAGGGCUCGGGUACCGGCCGCUUAGACAAAUGAUUCUCUCCCCGGCUGCGGCCUCCGCAGCCGGGCAGACAGAAUUCGGCUUACAGCCCUUCCAGGCCA